GAUGAACGCUGGCGGCGUGCCUAAUACAUGCAAGUCGAGCGAACGGGCCCUACGUUUGCGUCUUUCAUGUUUGCGGCGCGCGGGAGAGUAACAUGUGUAUCAUCUACCUAUAAUAGUGGUAUAUUCUCGAGAAACGGGCGCUAACCCCGGAUGAUAUCUUGAUCCGCGUGGGUCGUUAGUGAAAUACGGUCUUGCUGUCACUUAUCGCUGCUUCCGCGCUGCAUGAGCUAGUUGGUAAGGUAACGGCUUACGAAGGCAACGAUGCGUAGCCGAACUGAGAGGGUGAUAGCCGACACUGGAACUGAACCACGGUCCAGACUCCUACGGGAGGCAGCAGUAGGGAAUCUUCCGCAAUGGGCGAAAGCCUGACGGAGUAACGCCGCGUGAGUGAUGAAGGUCUUCGGAUCGUAAAACUCUGUUAUUAGGGAAGAACAUAUGUGUAAGUAACUGUGCACAUCUUGACGGUACCUAAUCAGAAAGCAACGGCUAACUACGUG
RNAcentral lists this ribosomal RNA (497 nucleotides) under uncultured bacterium. RNAcentral describes it as "partial 16S ribosomal RNA". It matches the Rfam family "Bacterial small subunit ribosomal RNA", at positions 28 to 507 of the family's 1533-position model. The record is from RNAcentral.